Long non-coding RNA from Momordica charantia (bitter melon), 945 nucleotides. RefSeq lists it as uncharacterized. NCBI's taxonomy places the organism in Eukaryota, Viridiplantae, Streptophyta, Magnoliopsida, Cucurbitales, Cucurbitaceae. The record is from RefSeq and is a predicted model, not a curated record.
AGCUACAAACGUAUGUAUUUUUCUCUACCUUUCUCUACAAAGGUUGGGGAUUCGACAGGCCUUCCGACAGGUGGUUAUUGAUGUCGAAGGUCAGGUCGGACAUGUCCUAGAUAUAUACUUGGUCGGACCUUGUGGUAGGUCGGACACUGAGAUGGUAGACGUGAUCAAUAUUUUGUUAAUUACUUGACCUUGGACAGGUUCGAGGUGGACCUGAAACCCAGAUGUGUCCAGGUCUACACAUUUAUGUCCUCCACGUGGCGUGAUGAUUUCACCCUGAACAGAAUCGAUGGAUCCCACUAAUGCAAUCGAUCCUGCGUGGAAAGACGAUCUUGCACAGCCAACCAAGCGAUGAAAGAAUGCUUAGGGAUGUUGCCCCUAAACCACAGCAAUGAAGCCGCAAGGAAUAGGGUGCUGAGAUAGUUGUAAAACACCCAACGCGCCGAGAAGGUGCCCGAAGCUACAGCAACCCAGACUGGCACAUAAUUUCUGUCGACCAAGGCCUGCACAGUAGCCACCUCAAGUAAAAGCUCAAGAAGAUCCACAUAAACCCAAGAAGAGCCAUUAAUAAAGAGGAAAUCAGAUAUCGUAGCCUUUGAAGAACUUGCAGCAUCAUAAAUAAGCCGAUUCCCAAAUCUCGGGAAAAUAGGCCCCCUAGGAGCAAGACAUCAUGCCACACAAAACAACGCUGAUCAUCCCCAACAGAGACUCUAACCAGGGGUCAAAAAGCAUCUCGAACUCCUAGAAUUUCCCUCCAGUACCAGGACGAGGCAAGGACCGAACUAUCCAAAAACACGACCCCCGCUUUGAAAGUACAUGGAUUAAAUUGUAACAAACUAAGUCCGGAGACUAACUCGUUAAUAUAGCAAAAUAACAAGAACAAAAUGUAUUUUUUGACCUUCUUUUUUAUCUUUUGGAGUUAUAAAACUUAUUUGUUUCCUAUUGAAA